CAAAUUGAAACCUUUCGUUGAAAUCUUUCGCCAAUUUAGUCAAAUCCAGUUCUUAAGUAACAAGUGAAAUAACGAUUUAACUUUUUAUCCAACACUAGAAACGUACCUAUGCCACUCCGUGUAUAUUAGCAUUAACUGGUCUUCUAAUUAGAUUGUUUAUUUGUACAGUUAUGCUUUAUGCUCUUUAUUCAGUGUAUAGACAAUACACGCUCAUAACUGAUGGUACAAAUUCUAGAACAAAAAUUAAAGUAUUUCCAGCCGAUGGAGAGGAAAAUGAUAAUGGAUCUAAAGCUUGACUGUUUGGAACUGAAAGAUCAAAUAUGGGUGCAGAAAUGUAUAGAAACGCACAUUAGAAUUUCCUUCAAAAUGUAACUUUAGAUUGUACACUUGAUUGCUAU
Molecule: non-coding RNA, 398 nt
Organism: Tetranychus urticae (two-spotted spider mite)
Lineage: Eukaryota; Metazoa; Arthropoda; Arachnida; Trombidiformes; Tetranychidae
Source: RefSeq, a predicted model, not a curated record